GACGAACCGAGCGAACGUUGUUCGGAAUCACUGGGCUUAAAGGGCGCGUAGGCGGGUUCGCAAGUCUGUGGUGAAAUCCUCCGGCUCAACCGGAGAACUGCCUCGGAUACUGCGGGUCUCGAGGGUGAUAGGGGUAUGCGGAACUAUCGGUGGAGCGGUGAAAUGCGUUGAUAUCGAUAGGAACUCCGGAGGCGAAGGCGGCAUACUGGAUCACUUCUGACGCUGAGGCGCGAAAGCCAGGGGAGCAAACGGG
RNAcentral lists this ribosomal RNA (253 nucleotides) under uncultured bacterium. RNAcentral's name for it is "partial 16S ribosomal RNA". It matches the Rfam family "Bacterial small subunit ribosomal RNA", at positions 524 to 776 of the family's 1533-position model. The record is from RNAcentral.